RNAcentral lists this ribosomal RNA (253 nucleotides) under uncultured bacterium. RNAcentral's name for it is "partial 16S ribosomal RNA". It matches the Rfam family "Bacterial small subunit ribosomal RNA", at positions 524 to 776 of the family's 1533-position model. The record is from RNAcentral.
UACGAAGGGGGCUAGCGUUGCUCGGAAUCACUGGGCGUAAAGCGCACGUAGGCGGAUUGUUAAGUCAGGGGUGAAAUCCUGGAGCUCAACUCCAGAACUGCCUUUGAUACUGGGGAUCUCGAGUCCGGAAGAGGUGAGUGGAACUCCGAGUGUAGAGGUGAAAUGCGCAGAUAUCGGGAGGAACACCAAUGGCGAAGGCAGCUCGCUGGGACGGUACUGACGCUGAGACGCGAAAGCGUGGGGAGCAAACAGG